AAGACUAUACUUUCAGGGUUCAUUUCUAUAGUUCAUUAAUAUAAAUACUUAAAAAAAAAAAAAAGGAAGCAGUAUCUACUGGAAAAGAGCUCCCAGCCUAAGAUCGGCCAGCUCAGUAUAGGCCCCACAGGACUCAUUCCCUGCCUGUGCAUGCUGUCCUGGCCCAACCCUGGGCAGUGGCAGGGGCUGGGCAUUAUCGCUGAGCAGC
Alexandromys fortis (reed vole) is the source of this 208-nucleotide small nucleolar RNA. RefSeq annotates it as small nucleolar RNA U3. The record is from RefSeq and is a predicted model, not a curated record. NCBI's taxonomy places the organism in Eukaryota, Metazoa, Chordata, Mammalia, Rodentia, Cricetidae. The transcript has a single exon.